This 505-nucleotide ribosomal RNA is filed under the name uncultured Sphingobacteriales bacterium. RNAcentral describes it as "bacterial SSU rRNA". It matches the Rfam family "Bacterial small subunit ribosomal RNA", at positions 903 to 1382 of the family's 1533-position model. Lineage: Bacteria; Pseudomonadati; Bacteroidota; Sphingobacteriia; Sphingobacteriales. The record is from RNAcentral.
UGCGCCUUGCCAGCCCGCUCAGAAACUCAAAGGAAUUGACGGGGGCCCGCACAAGCGGUGGAGCAUGUGGUUUAAUUCGAUGAUACGCGAGGAACCUUACCUGGGCUCAAAUGUAUGUUGACGUAUUCUGAAAGGGAUACUUCUUCGGACAAUAUACAAGGUGCUGCAUGGUUGUCGUCAGCUCGUGCCGUGAGGUGUCGGGUUAAGUCCCAUAACGAGCGCAACCCCUAUCAUUAGUUGCCAUCAGGUCAAGCUGGGGACUCUAAUGAAACUGCCUACGCAAGUAGUGAGGAAGGUGGGGAUGACGUCAAAUCAGCACGGCCCUUACGUCCAGGGCUACACACGUGUUACAAUGGCCAGUACAGAGGGCAGCCACCCCGCGAGGGGGCGCUAAUCCUAAAAGCUGGUCCCAGUUCGGAUCGGAGUCUGCAACCCGACUCCGUGAAGCUGGAUUCGCUAGUAAUCGCGCAUCAGCCACGGCGCGGUGAAUACGUUCCCGGGCCUU